This is a ribosomal RNA of Danio rerio (zebrafish), 117 nucleotides long. The record is from Ensembl. NCBI's taxonomy places the organism in Eukaryota, Metazoa, Chordata, Actinopteri, Cypriniformes, Danionidae.
GGCAACAGCCAUAUCACCCUGCAGCCCAAGACCAGUUUCUCACUGAAGCUAAGCAGGGCUGAGCCUGGUCAGUACCUGGAUGGGAGACCACAUGGGAAAACUAGAUUGCUGAAGUGG